AACGAACGCUGGCGGCAUGCCUAAUACAUGCAAGUCGAACGAGAUCUUCGGAUCUAGUGGCGCACGGGUGCGUAACGCGUGGGAAUCUGCCCUUGGGUUCGGAAUAACUUCUGGAAACGGAAGCUAAUACCGGAUGAUGACGUAAGUCCAAAGAUUUAUCGCCCAAGGAUGAGCCCGCGUAGGAUUAGCUAGUUGGUGGGGUAAAGGCCCACCAAGGCGACGAUCCUUAGCUGGUCUGAGAGGAUGAUCAGCCACACUGGGACUGAGACACGGCCCAGACUCCUACGGGAGGCAGCAGUAGGGAAUAUUGGACAAUGGGCGAAAGCCUGAUCCAGCAAUGCCGCGUGAGUGAUGAAGGCCUUAGGGUUGUAAAGCUCUUUUACCCGGGAUGAUAAUGACAGUA
Molecule: ribosomal RNA, 403 nt
Filed under: uncultured bacterium
Lineage: Bacteria
Description: bacterial SSU rRNA
Rfam family: Bacterial small subunit ribosomal RNA
Source: RNAcentral